This 185-nucleotide unclassified non-coding RNA is filed under the name rhizosphere metagenome. RNAcentral describes it as "partial ribosomal RNA internal transcribed spacer region". The record is from RNAcentral.
GAGUUCAUGCCCUCACGGGUAGAUCUCCCACCCUUGAAUAUAUUACCUUUGUUGCUUUGGCGGGCCGCAUCGUCCUCCGGCCCCGGCUGGGGAGUGCCCGCCAGAGGACCCAAAACCCUGAAUAUUAGUGUCGUCUGAGUAAAAUUUUAAUAUUUAAAACUUUCAACAACGGAUCUCUUGGCUCU